RNAcentral lists this ribosomal RNA (460 nucleotides) under uncultured bacterium. RNAcentral's name for it is "partial 16S ribosomal RNA". It matches the Rfam family "Bacterial small subunit ribosomal RNA", at positions 338 to 795 of the family's 1533-position model. The record is from RNAcentral.
CCUACGGGUGGCAGCAGUGAGGAAUAUUGGUCAAUGGGCGCGAGCCUGAACCAGCCAAGUCGCGUGAGGGAGGACGGCCCUACGGGUUGUAAACCUCUUUUGUCGGGGAGCAACGGGCGUCACGUGUGGCGCCACUGAGAGUACCCGGAGAAAAAGCAUCGGCUAACUCCGUGCCAGCACCCGCGGUACUACGGGGGAUGCGAGCGUUAUCCGGAUUUAUUGGGUUUAACGGGUGCGUAGGCGGAAUGCCAAGUCAACGGUAAAAUCGCGGGGGUAAACAUAGCUCUGCCGUUGAAACUGGCGUUCUUGAGUGGGCGAGAAGUAUGCGGAAUGCGUGGUGUAGCGGUGAAAUGCAUAGAGAUCACGCAGAACUCCGAUUGCGAAGGCAGCAUACCGGCGCCCAACUGACGCUGAAGCACGAAAGCGUGGGUAUCGAACAGGAUUAGAUACCCGGGUAGUC